Molecule: ribosomal RNA, 1347 nt
Filed under: Triticum aestivum (bread wheat)
Lineage: Eukaryota; Viridiplantae; Streptophyta; Magnoliopsida; Poales; Poaceae
Description: partial small subunit ribosomal RNA
Source: RNAcentral
AUGGUCCAGGGCGAGACCUUUCUCCCCGGACAGAUUUUUUUGUUCGGCGGCUUCGCACUGCGGGCCAAUUCGCCUGGCCAUCUGGAGCAGAUCGACAGCUAUGGCCCCAGCCAGCAGGUCAGGUUCGGAAACCUGAACUACACGGCCGAUAUCCGCGGAGACUUGAUCUUCAACGGAUUCGGGCCUGCGGCAGCAGCGCUGGACAGUCACGAUGAGCACGGCUUAGACCUGCUAUCGGAAAAUGCUCGGGAUAUCGCCCCUGCAGGAACCCCGGACCUAAAUCCAGGGCAGAUUGCGUCGCCCAAGGACGGGUGGAUGGACCCCACCCCGGAGGCCGCACACUCGUCGGCGGUAGAGCCGCACACAGACUUCACCCCCAACGAAGCCUGUGACACCGGACCCCCGGACUCGUAUCCGGUUAUAGGUUCCAGUCCACGCGCCUCCGAGCCCGCCGAAUCUGGUUGGGCUCCGGUAAUGGAGUUCACCGCUGCGGAUAUCUUCCAGCACUCGCCCUUUGGCGACAUGCUGAACUCUUUAAAGUCCCUCUCUUUGUCAGGAGACUCUCGGCUGAACUAUGUCCGGCUCGAGUGUGAAUCAGGCGACGAAGGAAUUCGUUGCCCACCCACCACCCACUUCAUUGCCACGGCCGAUGAUUUAACCGACGUGCUUGACUUCGACUUCGAAGACAUCGACGGUAUGGACGACGAUGCAGGAGAAGAACAGGAACCACCGCCCACGGGGCGGUGGACAACCACCUCCUCAUAUGAUAUAUAUAUGGUGGACACUCCGAAGGAAACCAAUGGCGAUGAGGCAAUGGAGGAUAACCCCUCAGGGAAGAGAGCAAAGCAUGGGCGUCGUCGGUGCCGCUCCAAGCCCCGCCACAACAAUAUUGGCACAGGAGACAAAAACAAUCCGGAUGGUGCCGAAGAUGAAUACAACCCCGAUCAGCCUGCCUUCGAGAAGGCUGAGCAGGCAGACGGGCAGGUCAGCACAGAAGAACAGGCGACGGACGGAUAUCCGGAGAAGGACAACUACAUGCCCCCCUCCGAAGACGAGAUUAGCCUCGGCGACGACGAGUUCGGCGUGCCUGAGGACCGUGUGGAGCAGGGGCGCUUCAAGCGCCGGCUUAUGGCCACUGCGAGGAGCCUGAAAAAGAAGCAGCAACAGCUCCAAGCUGAUCAAGACUUGCUCACAGACAGAUGGACAGAAGUCUUGACAGCUGAGGAAUACGGACUCGAACGCCACACGGCUGACCGGCCACCUCGUGGCCGGGAUAAAACGGCAUAUCAACCCGAAUACCAGCCCGCACCCCCACGCCAAUACACUACGGCCCGGGGCAAUAGGUAG